This is a long non-coding RNA of Triticum aestivum (bread wheat), 1413 nucleotides long. RefSeq lists it as uncharacterized. The transcript has 2 exons. The record is from RefSeq and is a predicted model, not a curated record. Lineage: Eukaryota; Viridiplantae; Streptophyta; Magnoliopsida; Poales; Poaceae.
CUCCACCUUCCCCCGAUCCCUAAUCUCCUCCCGAUCUCCCGUGUCCCAGCCCAAAAAAUCUCCUCCCGAUCUCCCCUGUCCCAGCCCAAAUUCUCAUCCCCGCAGUCACCGACCCACCGCUCGCCCGGCUUCGGACCACCGCCGCCGCACCAUCCCACCAGCUCCACAGGACGCGCCGCUGACUCUGCCUCCUCCCGGCGAGCCACCGCCUCCUGCCUCCUCCCGGCACGAGGCCGCCGCCUCCCACCUCCUCCCGGAACGAGGCCGCCCCCACCUCCUCUGGCGCGAGGCCAACCUUCCUCCCUCCACCGCUGCUCCACAUCGGGUCCACCGCCCUGCAACCCCGGGGGUCGCCGACAACUCCCGCGCGGUGCUGCGAGAUGGAUCUCGUCUCUGCCGCGAGAUGGAUCUCCUACCUCCUCCCUGCUGAUGUUGUUCUCCCACCCUGUCGCGCCGGCAACAACAUACCCCGGCCAGAUAAGCCGGAGCACGUGUUGGAUGCUGCCUCACUGUCGGUUCCCGCGACCUAGCAAGCUGGUGGAUCGGUCAAGCCAUUGCAGCCCCUGCAAGAAAGCUCGAUGGCGGCUUCCCCUGCUUCUUCAUGUGCUUCGCUGGAAGGCCCACGUCCCCGCGCAAUGCCACAGUCGGAGAACAACCCGUGCAAUAGCAGGUCGCCCGAGAAAGCUCGGGCUGCAACUGCCGGAUCCCACCGCCAUGGCCACUCAUCUCGCGCCGUCGACGAACUGCUGAGGCCUAAUCAGCGACCUGUCCGAGGCCAAAGCUCGACCUUCAUGUUUGUAUCUUCUCCAAGUUGCUGCUACCUGCAACGGAGAGGGGGAGGCUGUAGCCGAUGUUUGUGUUCUUCCCAUUGUUGAUCAUUUUUCUGAAUUUUUGCUUUGUCCAUUCAUGUGUUCCCAUUGUAGCAGAUCAACAAAUACAUACUUUUUCAGACGACCAUAUCUACCCGAUUUGGCUCACUGGAGGAGGCAUACGAGUUCUAUAACCUGUACUCAUGGGGAUUGCUUUUCGGCAUAUUUGGUACAUGACCAUCUACAUGAACGACGACUAGUAUUGGUCAUCUCAGGAUCUAGGGUGCCAGAUGGAGCAAUGGAGGGUGUUGACUGGAGGUGCUAGAAUGACUCCGCGAGGUUUGGUUUCAAAGGUAGUGAUCUAGCUUCACAAGUCCGACGACCAUGGUUGGUUUGUGGCAUCACAUUGCGCUGAGCACAAACCAUGCAUUGUCAGACAAUCGCAGCGAGAAGAUGUAACGUAGCUAACACAAGAAAAAUCGACGAAGUAAUCAGGGACAUGAGAGUUCAAAGAAAAUGUUAUCGUUGUACUAAAAAAAUCCCGUGGAUUUUCCCAUUUUUGAAAAAUGAUAACCAAAAAGUUCAAACUAAAAUAACAAAUUCA